RNAcentral lists this long non-coding RNA (814 nucleotides) under Ananas comosus (pineapple). RNAcentral describes it as "long non-coding RNA (ACOM_LNC025170)". The record is from RNAcentral. Lineage: Eukaryota; Viridiplantae; Streptophyta; Magnoliopsida; Poales; Bromeliaceae.
AGCUAGAUUAAAGAAAAAGUUAUGAGAUAGAGUAUUUUAUUUUUUUUUUUUUGAAAAGAAGGCAUCAGGGUCCAUAAUCUAUAGGGUGUGUUUGGUUCGCAUUAUGAAAGAUUACUAGGAAUGAAAAGAUGUCCGAGAAUCUUAUUCCUAUUCAUCCUAUUACUAAGAAUGUGGAAUUCAUGUGUUUGGUUCACACGGUCAUAUUAUUUAGCCAUGUUAUUUAAGAUUACAAAAAAUAUACAAUUAAUUUAUUUAUUUUUUAAAUUAAUUUUAGAUAAUCUAUCAAAAAUUUCAACAUUUUUUUAGAAAAAAAGAAGAGAGAGCAUAGGUUAGAAAGAGAGAGCAUAAUUAAAAAAAAUAGUAAGAAAAAUAGAGUCGAAAUUAGAGGGAGUGAGAGAGUUGAGAUUUUAGAAAAAGAGGGAGAGAGAAAGCUUAGUUUAGAGAGAGAAAAAGAGUUAAAUUUUAGAGAGAAAGAUAAGUUUAGAGAGAGAUGUGAGGUUAUAGUGUAAAGAAAAAUAAUACCAAUUAGCCGACAGGUAGAGAGAAAGAAAGAGAUUAGACAUAUUAUGAUUACCCCAAUUCAUAUUAUAGGAUACCCACCCUUACUAAAGGGAAUGAGAUUAGUACUUUGGAUGAAUCUUAUUUCCAAGUAAAUCCAAUAUUACCAACUAGAUUACUUAGUGCGUUUAGUCAAACACCGUCAUAUUUUUUUAUUCCUAUUGGAUUACUAGAAAUCUUUAAAAGAUAGCACGAACCAAACGCACCCAUAUGUUCAUGUCAAAUAGGGUAAUUAUUAUUAUUAUAUUUUGUAGUC